RNAcentral lists this ribosomal RNA (253 nucleotides) under uncultured bacterium. Its description in RNAcentral is "partial 16S ribosomal RNA". It matches the Rfam family "Bacterial small subunit ribosomal RNA", at positions 524 to 776 of the family's 1533-position model. The record is from RNAcentral.
GACAGAGGUCCCGAGCGUUAGGCGGAAUCACUGGGCUUAAAGCGUGUGUAGGCGGAUGCCUAAGUACCUUGUGAAAUCCCACGGCUCACCCGUGGAACUGCUUGGUAUACUGGGUGUCUUGAGCCACUUAGGGGCUACCGGUACAAAUGGUGGAGCGGUGAAAUGCGUAGAUAUCAUUUGGAACGCCAAUGGUGAAAACAGGUAGCUGGGAGUGUGCUGACGCUGAGACACGAAAGCCAGGGGAGCAAACGGG